Molecule: non-coding RNA, 73 nt
Organism: Paramuricea clavata
Lineage: Eukaryota; Metazoa; Cnidaria; Anthozoa; Malacalcyonacea; Plexauridae
Source: the annotation of a GenBank genome assembly
GUUCGAGUAGCUCAGUUGGCAGAGCAUUGGGCUAGUAUUCCAAAGGUCGUAGGUUCAAUUCCCACCGUGGCCG